UACAUUAAUUCCCCAAAACCCUUACCCCGUACUGAGUGACUUCAUAAUAUUAUGAAAAACCAUAUGCUAGAACUAGUAACAAGAAGAAGACCUUCUCCAAAAUGUACAUAUAGGCCAAAAUGAACAACUCAUUGGCAUUUACCGCUUAUGAACUAACAGUAGUAACUCAACAAGAAAACUCUACUAUCCAUAACGUUAACCUUACACUAGCACAUUCCCGGAAAGAUUAAAAGGAAGGGAAGGAACUCGGCAAAUAAUAACCUCGCCUGUUUACCAAAAACAUCGCCUCCUGAAUAAUCAUAGGAGGUCCAGCCUGCCCAGUGACAAAGUUAAACGGCCGCGGUACCCUAACCGUGCAAAGGUAGCGCAAUCACUUGUUCUUUAAAUGAGGACUAGUAUGAAUGGCAUCACGAGGGUUAUACUGUCUCCCCCACCUAAUCAGUGAAACUGAUCUUCCCGUGAAGAAGCGGGAAUAGAAUUAUAAGACGAGAAGACCCCAUGGAGCUUUAAACUCAACAUCAACUGCCCUCUAAAUAACUUAUUAACCACGCAGAUCUGACAGUUAGUUUUCGGUUGGGGUGACCGCGGAGUAAAACAAAACCUCCACGAUGAAAGGAAUUAACCUCCUAAUCUAAGAGCUACAGCUCUAAGAAUCAACAAAUUGACAAAACUUGAUCCAAAUACUUUGAUCAACGAACCAAGUUACCCUGGGGAUAACAGCGCAAUCCAUUUCAAGAGCUCAUAUCGACAAAUGGGUUUACGACCUCGAUGUUGGAUCAGGGUAUCCCAGUGGCGCAGCCGCUACUAAUGGUUC
RNAcentral lists this ribosomal RNA (814 nucleotides) under Glyphoglossus yunnanensis (Yunnan squat frog). RNAcentral's name for it is "partial 16S rRNA". It matches the Rfam family "Bacterial large subunit ribosomal RNA", at positions 1523 to 2574 of the family's 2925-position model. Lineage: Eukaryota; Metazoa; Chordata; Amphibia; Anura; Microhylidae. The record is from RNAcentral.